This 139-nucleotide transfer-messenger RNA is filed under the name Polaromonas sp. Its description in RNAcentral is "partial transfer-messenger RNA". It matches the Rfam family "transfer-messenger RNA", at positions 235 to 374 of the family's 374-position model. From Rfam's summary of the family: Bacterial tmRNA, also known as 10Sa RNA or SsrA, is named for its dual tRNA and mRNA-like properties. Its role is to liberate the mRNA from a stalled ribosome. To accomplish this part of the tmRNA is used as a reading frame that ends in a translation stop signal. The record is from RNAcentral. Lineage: Bacteria; Pseudomonadati; Pseudomonadota; Betaproteobacteria; Burkholderiales; Comamonadaceae.
CAAGAAAAUAGGGUGCUGGCGUCCUGUGUAGCGUGCGACUGCGCGACACAGGUGGCGAGACUCAAAUCAGACCGCUAAACAUGUAGAUCUGCCCGAACAAGGCUUGCGGACGGGGGUUCAAAUCCCCCCAGCUCCACCA